RNAcentral lists this ribosomal RNA (506 nucleotides) under uncultured bacterium. Its description in RNAcentral is "bacterial SSU rRNA". It matches the Rfam family "Bacterial small subunit ribosomal RNA", at positions 28 to 528 of the family's 1533-position model. The record is from RNAcentral.
GAUGAACGCUAGCGGCAGGCUUAAUACAUGCAAGUCGUGGGGCAGCAUGGGGUAGCAAUACUCUGAUGGCGACCGGCAAACGGGUGCGGAACACGUACGCAACCUUCCCAAAACUGGUGAAUAGCCCUCCGAAAGGAGGAUUAAUACACCGUAACAUAACGAAGUGGCAUCACUUUGUUAUUAUAGCUCCGGCGGUUUUGGAUGGGCGUGCGCCUGAUUAGGUAGUUGGCGGGGUAACGGCCCACCAAGCCUACGAUCAGUAACUGGUGUGAGAGCACGACCAGUCACACGGGCACUGAGACACGGGCCCGACUCCUACGGGAGGCAGCAGUAAGGAAUAUUGGUCAAUGGACGCAAGUCUGAACCAGCCAUGCCGCGUGAAGGAUGAAGGUCCUCUGGAUUGUAAACUUCUUUUAUCUGGGACGAAAAAGGGCUUUCUAGCUCACUUGACGGUACCAGAGGAAUAAGCACCGGCUAACUCCGUGCCAGCAGCCGCGGUAAACUGU